Molecule: long non-coding RNA, 205 nt
Filed under: Vitis vinifera (wine grape)
Lineage: Eukaryota; Viridiplantae; Streptophyta; Magnoliopsida; Vitales; Vitaceae
Description: long non-coding RNA (VVIN_LNC007295)
Source: RNAcentral
UAAGGAAAAACAUAAGAACAGGAAAAUGGAAGGAAUGAGGAAAAAACAGAGUUAGGAAGAGAAGUUUGAGAGGUCUUGAGGAAAAUAGAGUGAACGGGAAAAGAAAGGAAAGAGAAAAAACAAAGGUUUGAGAAGAGGGGGAUUAGUUUUGAAGAAGAAGAGAAGUUGGGGAGGUUUGGAAGAGGGACAGAUUCGGGAAGGUGAG